AGCAGCCGCGGUAAUUCCAGCUCCAAUAGCGUAUAUUAAAGUUGUUGCAGUUAAAAAGCUCGUAGUUGAAUUUCGGGAUUGACACAUCGGUCGUGCCUUAAGGGGUAUGAACUGGUGUAGUCAAUUUCUCACCUUCUGGAGAACCGCGAUGCCCUUAAUUGGGUGUCGCGGGGAACCAGGACCUUUACUUUGAAAAAUUAGAGUGUUUAAAGCAGGCAUUUUGCUUGAAUACAUUAGCAUGGAAUAAUAAAAUAGGACGGCAUGAUUCUAUUUUGUUGGUUUCUAGGAUCACCGUAAUGAUUAAUAGGGAUAGUUGGGGGCAUUAGUAUUCAAUUGUCAGAGGUGAAAUUCUUGGAUUUAUUGAAGACUAACUACUGCGAAAGCAUUUGCCAAGGAUGUUUUCAUUAAUCAAGAACGAAAGUUAGGGGAUCGAAGACGAUCAGAUACCGUCGUAGUCUUAACCAUAAACUAUGCCGACUAGGAAUCAGACGAUGUUAAUUUUUAAUGUACUUCGUUUGGC
RNAcentral lists this unclassified non-coding RNA (520 nucleotides) under uncultured Entrophospora. Its description in RNAcentral is "SSU rRNA". It matches the Rfam family "Eukaryotic small subunit ribosomal RNA", at positions 569 to 1084 of the family's 1831-position model. The record is from RNAcentral. Lineage: Eukaryota; Fungi; Glomeromycota; Glomeromycetes; Entrophosporales; Entrophosporaceae.